CCCAUGUGCCGCCGUGGAGGCAGCGGGCACGACUACCGGUUUCUUAUUCUGAGGACCUAAGAAAGAGGAGAGCGUGGCUUUGGAAGAUGGAGGGGCGGGAACUCCCCAGGCAGCACAGCAACAAGGAGGCCUGGCCGCGCGGGAGAACGGACUGGGAGAGCGGGCCUCGGCCUCGGAGGCGGCGGACUCGGGUCGCCACGACAGCCCGCGCGGAGCCCGCUCGCCUCCCGCCGCCCGAGACGCCUCCCCAGCCUCUCGUACGACUCGUCGCGGAAAAUGCUCGCACGCUCUCGUCGCUCCAUCUAACCUCAGAGGGAACCACGUCAGAAUCCUUUGUCCCCGAAAGGCGCCGUGCUGCCCAUUGGCUGUGUUGCCCCCGCCCCCAAAGCCCGCUCCUGCGCGUGCACAGCGCUCGGGCUCCCGAGGCGACGGCGAGCGGAAGUGCUCUGCUGACCCCGAGGGCGGUGCGAGUUGACGCUUGCGGUUGUUACCUGCCCUGAGACCUCGGGUUCCAGGCGGUGGAUAAAUGAUAUUGUGAAAAAUGAAAAAAGUGCAAGUAAAUAAAAGAGGAAAGGUGGAAUCACCGCUGGAAGGCAUAGAAUUCCUGAGAGAAAGGAGAUG
This is a long non-coding RNA of Physeter macrocephalus (sperm whale), 621 nucleotides long. RefSeq lists it as uncharacterized. The transcript is spliced from 3 exons. Lineage: Eukaryota; Metazoa; Chordata; Mammalia; Artiodactyla; Physeteridae. The record is from RefSeq and is a predicted model, not a curated record.